ACAGAACAUGUUAAAUCUUGUCCGGAGAACUUAGCAACCCAGUAAACCACAAGGGAUUGGCACGAGAAUGAAAUCUCUAUUAAUUUCCAGUUGAUAAAAACCAUUCUUGUAGGAAAUUAUAUGUACUGAAGCUCUUCGGGCAUAUCACAGAGCUUUCUUAUGCUCAUCUCUAUGCCACAUCAAUAUCACCUUCGGCUGCCCAACAACUAAUUUUUUCUAUCAAGGUUAUACUCGGUGAAGAUGCUUCUAGUAGAGGUGGCAGUAGUGAUGAUUGCUUUUCCAGCUACUCCUUUACUUUUGGCCAGGCAUGGGUAUGCAUUUCAGCUGUCAUUCAAGGAAAGAUCCUAUUAAAAAGCUGGAGGUUUGCUUUUACUUGUGUUUAUUUUAUCAUCCAUCUAAUAAGCAUGUUUAGUUGUGUGUCC
Long non-coding RNA from Nicotiana tabacum (common tobacco), 422 nucleotides. RefSeq lists it as uncharacterized. Lineage: Eukaryota; Viridiplantae; Streptophyta; Magnoliopsida; Solanales; Solanaceae. The record is from RefSeq and is a predicted model, not a curated record.